GAUGAAGAACGUAGCGAAAUGCGAUAAGUAAUGUGAAUUGCAGAAUUCAGUGAAUCAUCGAAUCGUUGAACGCACAUUGCGCCCGCUAGUAUUCUGGCGGGCAUGCCUGUCCGAGCGUCAUUUCAACCCUCAAGCCCCCGGGCUUGGUGUUGGGGAUCGGCGAGCCUCCGCGCCCGCCGUCCCCUAAAUCUAGUGGCGGUCUCGCUGUAGCUUCCUCUGCGUAGUAGCACACCUCGCACUGGGAAACAGCGCGGCCACGCCGUUAAACCCCCAACUUCUGAACGUUUGACCUCGGAUCAGGUAGGAAUACCCGCUGAACUUAAGCAUAUCAAUAAGCGGAGGA
RNAcentral lists this unclassified non-coding RNA (343 nucleotides) under soil metagenome. RNAcentral describes it as "partial contains 5.8S ribosomal RNA, internal transcribed spacer 2, and large subunit ribosomal RNA". The stretch from base 1 to 120 matches the Rfam family "5.8S ribosomal RNA", at positions 35 to 154 of the family's 154-position model. The record is from RNAcentral.